UGACCUCCCGGGAAGUCCU
Molecule: small nuclear RNA, 19 nt
Filed under: Arabidopsis thaliana (thale cress)
Lineage: Eukaryota; Viridiplantae; Streptophyta; Magnoliopsida; Brassicales; Brassicaceae
Description: snRNA_10392
Source: RNAcentral